ACUGCAGUGUUCUCUCCCAGCCUGGAGUCCAACUAAGGAAUCAUUGUGCUUCUGACCGAAUUUACCUUCCAAGCCUCAUUUCAUCUUCCAGAACAGCCUUCAAGUCUGCAGCCAAACCUGUACCUCAUGGCAGGGUAUCAGAAUGGUGCGUGGGUUUGGUUUGAAGCUAAAGAAAGGAGAAAGAGCCAGAGAAGAAGAAAAAAAGAUUCCCUGCAGCCUGCCAGGGACGUGGUAACUGCCCUGCCAAGAGUGAUCCUGGGAGAGCUAUUGAAAGAGCUCUGAGUAAGUACACACUGGGCGGAUUUUCCCUCCCCUUCGUACCUGCUCCGCACCUGUACAGGGAGCAGUCCCACACAUAUCACCUGAUCGCAGCCCUUUCAGAGACCGUGAGAAAAAUAAAGUCCAGCAUAGAAGAGAUGUUUGUCUCUGCAGGGCUGCAGCCAGCUCCCCACGGUCCGGGUGCCCAGAAACAGCACAUUCCUGGCCGGGUGUGCACGCGUGUUUGCCCACACGCGCGUGCUGGGUGGGGGCACCAGCAGGGGAGGGGAGCCGGGCAUCACCUGCGUAAUAACUGCUUUGCUGCCUCCAUUUUUGGGCAUCCUUCCUGUCUGGAAGUUUUGUGAUCCUCUACUAGAAUCAUUAUUAUGGUCCCUCUAGACAAGAGUCUGUGUAUGCUCAUCACAGCUGAAUGCAUCACCAGGAUGUCAGACAUUAGGGUUCAUGGAUGAAACGCCCUGGGGCCUCUGAAGCCCUUGAAAUGGACCUUUAGAAAGAGCUUCUUUUUCCCCCGUGUUUGUCUUUUUAGGGCCUCCUUGGCAUAUGGAAGUUCCCAGGCUAGGGGUGGAAUCCGAGCCACAUCCGUGACCUACACCGCAGCUCACGACAACGCUGGAUCAUCAACCCACUGAGUGAGGCCAGAGAUCAAACCCGAGUUUUCCUGCACACCAGUUAGGUUUGUUACCACUGAGCCGCAACAGGAACUCCCAGGAGCUUUAUGAGUGAAUGAAUAAAUGCAUCAUUCCACCCCCACCUCACCGCCGCCACCCCGGGGGAGAGAGUCUACAGCUUUUAGCAGAAUCUCAAAGUUUUUUGUAACGCAGGAAGGUUGAGGAAGCUGAUCCAGGCAAUCUCGAUGUAUAAGUGGGUACUCUAAGGCCCAGAGAGGGCCAGGGACUGGUUCAGGCAACAUAGGGCAGAGUGGGGGCCAGAAGCCAGCUCGGAGUCCUUUGUACCAUUCCCCAGUGCUGUGGAUCUUGGGAAAUUUAGGGUGGGGUUUAUGGAGUUGGGAUCACCGCUAGAACUUGGAUUUAAAAUAGACACUUUAAUAAAGGUCCUUUGAGUCUCCAG
RNAcentral lists this long non-coding RNA (1347 nucleotides) under Sus scrofa (pig). Its description in RNAcentral is "lncRNA (ENSSSCG00000034990.3)". The record is from RNAcentral. Lineage: Eukaryota; Metazoa; Chordata; Mammalia; Artiodactyla; Suidae.